RNAcentral lists this ribosomal RNA (484 nucleotides) under uncultured bacterium. RNAcentral describes it as "partial 16S ribosomal RNA". It matches the Rfam family "Bacterial small subunit ribosomal RNA", at positions 29 to 507 of the family's 1533-position model. The record is from RNAcentral.
AGUGAACGCUGGCGGCAGGCCUAACACAUGCAAGUCGAGCGGCAGCGCGGGGGCAACCCUGGCGGCGAGCGGCGGACGGGUGAGGAAUUCGUCGGAAUCUGCCUUUUUGUGGGGGAUAACGUAGGGAAACUUACGCUAAUACCGCAUACGUCCUACGGGAGAAAGUGGGGGACCGCAGGGCCUCACGCAGAAGGAUGAGCCGACGACCGAUUAGCUAGUUGGUGGGGUAAAGGCCCACCAAGGCGACGAUCGGUAGCUGGUCUGAGAGGAUGAUCAGCCACACUGGGACUGAGACACGGCCCAGACUCCUACGGGAGGCAGCAGUGGGGAAUAUUGGACAAUGGGCACAAGCCUGAUCCAGCCAUGCCGCGUGUGUGAAGAAGGCCUUCGGGUUGUAAAGCACUUUUGUCCGGAAAGAAAUCCCUGGAGCUAAUACCUUCGGGGGAUGACGGUACCGGAAGAAUAAGCACCGGCUAACUUCGUG